AGUUGAUGUGAUGAUAACCUUUCACAGAAAAUCGUGUUGACUAAAAUUACAGACUACAAUUAUCUGAUCAACU
Molecule: small nucleolar RNA, 73 nt
Organism: Lolium rigidum
Lineage: Eukaryota; Viridiplantae; Streptophyta; Magnoliopsida; Poales; Poaceae
Product: small nucleolar RNA Z155
Exons: 1
Source: RefSeq, a predicted model, not a curated record